This 84-nucleotide transfer RNA is filed under the name Fischerella sp. RNAcentral describes it as "tRNA-Leu". It matches the Rfam family "tRNA". From Rfam's summary of the family: Transfer RNA (tRNA) molecules are approximately 80 nucleotides in length. Their secondary structure includes four short double-helical elements and three loops (D, anti-codon, and T loops). Further hydrogen bonds mediate the characteristic L-shaped molecular structure. tRNAs have two regions of fundamental functional importance: the anti-codon, which is responsible for specific mRNA codon recognition, and the 3' end, to which the tRNAs corresponding amino acid is attached (by aminoacyl-tRNA synthetases). tRNAs cope with the degeneracy of the genetic code in two manners: having more than one tRNA (with a specific anti-codon) for a particular amino acid; and 'wobble' base-pairing, i.e. permitting non-standard base-pairing at the 3rd anti-codon position. RNAcentral also lists the same sequence under 2 other names. The record is from RNAcentral. Lineage: Bacteria; Bacillati; Cyanobacteriota; Cyanophyceae; Nostocales; Hapalosiphonaceae.
GGGCGGGUGGCGAAACUGGUAGACGCACCACACUCAAAAUGUGGCGGGCUUGCGCCCAUAGGAGUUCGAUUCUCCUCCUGCCCA